RNAcentral lists this ribosomal RNA (484 nucleotides) under uncultured bacterium. RNAcentral's name for it is "partial 16S ribosomal RNA". It matches the Rfam family "Bacterial small subunit ribosomal RNA", at positions 30 to 507 of the family's 1533-position model. The record is from RNAcentral.
AUUGAACGCUGGCGGCAGGCCUAACACAUGCAAGUCGAGCGGAUGAAGGGAGCUUGCUCCUGGAUUCAGCGGCGGACGGGUGAGUAAUGCCUAGGAAUCUGCCUGGUAGUGGGGGAUAACGUCCGGAAACGGGCGCUAAUACCGCAUACGUCCUGAGGGAGAAAGUGGGGGAUCUUCGGACCUCACGCUAUCAGAUGAGCCUAGGUCGGAUUAGCUAGUUGGUGGGGUAAAGGUCUACCAAGGCGACGAUCCGUAACUGGUCUGAGAGGAUGAUCAGUCACACUGGAACUGAGACACGGUCCAGACUCCUACGGGAGGCAGCAGUGGGGAAUAUUGGACAAUGGGCGAAAGCCUGAUCCAGCCAUGCCGCGUGUGUGAAGAAGGUCUUCGGAUUGUAAAGCACUUUAAGUUGGGGGGAAGGGCAGUAAGUUAAUACCUUGCUGUUUUGACGUUACCAACAGAAUAAGCACCGGCUAACUUCGUG